Molecule: ribosomal RNA, 301 nt
Filed under: uncultured bacterium
Lineage: Bacteria
Description: partial 16S ribosomal RNA
Rfam family: Bacterial small subunit ribosomal RNA
Source: RNAcentral
CAGCAGCCACGGUAAUACGAAGGGGGCUAGCGUUGCUCGGAAUGACUGGGCGUAAAGGGCGCGUAGGCGGCGGCCAAAGUCAGGCGUGAAAUUCCCGGGCUCAACCUGGGGGCUGCGUUUGAUACUUGGUUGCUUGAGUGGGGAAGAGGGUCGUGGAAUUCCCAGUGUAGAGGUGAAAUUCGUAGAUAUUGGGAAGAACACCGGUGGCGAAGGCGGCGACCUGGUCCUUGACUGACGCUGAGGCGCGAAAGCGUGGGGAGCAAACAGGAUUAGAUACCCCAGUAGUCCCUGUCUCUUAUAA